AGUGAACGCUGGCGGUAGGCCUAACACAUGCAAGUCGAACGGCAGCACAGUAAGAGCUUGCUCUUACGGGUGGCGAGUGGCGGACGGGUGAGGAAUACAUCGGAAUCUACUUUUUCGUGGGGGAUAACGUAGGGAAACUUACGCUAAUACCGCAUACGACCUACGGGUGAAAGCAGGGGAUCUUCGGACCUUGCGCGAUUGAAUGAGCCGAUGUCGGAUUAGCUAGUUGGCGGGGUAAAGGCCCACCAAGGCGACGAUCCGUAGCUGGUCUGAGAGGGUGAUCGGCCACACUGGAACUGAGACACGGUCCAGACUCCUACGGGAGGCAGCAGUGGGGAAUAUUGGACAAUGGGCGCAAGCCUGAUCCAGCCAUACCGCGUGGGUGAAGAAGGCCUUCGGGUUGUAAAGCCCUUUUGUUGGGGAAGAAAAGCAGCAGGUUAAUACCCCGCUGUUCUGACGGUACCCAAAGAAUAAGCACCGGCUAACUUCGUG
Molecule: ribosomal RNA, 492 nt
Filed under: uncultured bacterium
Lineage: Bacteria
Description: partial 16S ribosomal RNA
Rfam family: Bacterial small subunit ribosomal RNA
Source: RNAcentral